UCCCCUGUGGCUCAGUUGAUAGAGCAUGGUGUUUGCAACACCAGGGUUGUGGGUUCGAUUCCCAUGGGGAA
RNAcentral lists this transfer RNA (71 nucleotides) under Salmo salar (Atlantic salmon). It matches the Rfam family "tRNA". Rfam says of the family: Transfer RNA (tRNA) molecules are approximately 80 nucleotides in length. Their secondary structure includes four short double-helical elements and three loops (D, anti-codon, and T loops). Further hydrogen bonds mediate the characteristic L-shaped molecular structure. tRNAs have two regions of fundamental functional importance: the anti-codon, which is responsible for specific mRNA codon recognition, and the 3' end, to which the tRNAs corresponding amino acid is attached (by aminoacyl-tRNA synthetases). tRNAs cope with the degeneracy of the genetic code in two manners: having more than one tRNA (with a specific anti-codon) for a particular amino acid; and 'wobble' base-pairing, i.e. permitting non-standard base-pairing at the 3rd anti-codon position. The record is from Rfam by way of RNAcentral. Lineage: Eukaryota; Metazoa; Chordata; Actinopteri; Salmoniformes; Salmonidae.